Molecule: ribosomal RNA, 406 nt
Filed under: uncultured bacterium
Lineage: Bacteria
Description: partial 16S ribosomal RNA
Rfam family: Bacterial small subunit ribosomal RNA
Source: RNAcentral
AUUGAACGCUGGCGGCAGGCCUAACACAUGCAAGUCGAACGAGCGGCGGACGGGUGAGUAAUGUCUGGGAAACUGCCUGAUGGAGGGGGAUAACUACUGGAAACGGUGGCUAAUACUGCAUACUAUCGGAUGUGCCCAGCUGGGAUUAGCUAGUGGGUGGGGUAACGGCUCACCUAGGCGACGAUCCCUAGCUGGUCUGAGAGGAUGACCAGCCACACUGGAACUGAGACACGGCCCAGACUCCUACGGGAGGCAGCAGUGGGGAAUAUUGCACAAUGGGCGCAAGCCUGAUGCAGCCAUGCCGCGUGUAUGAAGAAGGCCUUCGGGUUGUAAAGUACUUUCAGCGGGGAGGCGUUACCCGCAGAAGAAGCACCGGCUAACUCCGUGCCAGCAGCCGCGGUAAUUC